GGCAACCCUGAUCCAGCCAUUCCGCGUGAGUGAAGAAGGCCUUCGGGUUGUAAAGCUCUUUCAGCUGGAACGAAACGGUACGCUCUAACAUAGCGUGCUAAUGACGGUACCGGCAGAAGAAGCACCGGCUAACUACGUGCCAGCAGCCGCGGUAAUACGUAGGGUGCGAGCGUUAAUCGGAAUUACUGGGCGUAAAGCGUGCGCAGGCGGAUUGUUAAGCAAGAUGUGAAAUCCCCGGGCUUAACCUGGGAAUGGCAUUUUGAACUGGCAGUCUAGAGUGCGUCAGAGGGGGGUGGAAUUCCACGUGUAGCAGUGAAAUGCGUAGAGAUGUGGAGGAACACCAAUGGCGAAGGCAGCCCCCUGGGAUGACACCGACGCUCAUGUACGAAAGCGUGGGUAGCAAACAGGAUUAGAUACCCUGGUAGUCCACGCCCUAAACGAUGUCAACUGGUUGUUGGGGGAGUGAAAUCCCUUAGUAACGAAGCUAACGCGUGAAGUUGACCGCCUGGGGAGUACGGUCGCAAGAUUAAAACUCAAAGGAAUUGACGG
This 549-nucleotide ribosomal RNA is filed under the name uncultured bacterium. RNAcentral describes it as "bacterial SSU rRNA". It matches the Rfam family "Bacterial small subunit ribosomal RNA", at positions 376 to 916 of the family's 1533-position model. The record is from RNAcentral.